CUUCCUUUGAAUUUUUGGGAAAAGACUGAUAUUGAUUUAUGGGCCUCAGAGGAGACUGAAGCUAAAUUUUGAAGGUGUUACUUCAGUUAAAGCUGGAGAGCUUGCAGCAGAGAAACAGAGGACUAAAGGACCUCACCUUUUGGAGGUCCACCAGGGUAACAUCCAUUCCGGCUCUCAGAGACAACUCCACUUCCAGGUUUCUUUCAACUGGUGUUACUUCUGCCCCAACAUGAUGACUUCACUUCCGGCCCAUUUCCGAUAACCUCAUUUCUGGCUAUUGAUUAUGCCGUCAUCUCCGUCACCCAUCUUCAAUGUCAUUUCCUCCUUCACUUCCUGCCAUACUUCCAUAAAAGUCCCAUCAAGCCUU
Erpetoichthys calabaricus (reedfish) is the source of this 367-nucleotide long non-coding RNA. RefSeq lists it as uncharacterized. NCBI's taxonomy places the organism in Eukaryota, Metazoa, Chordata, Cladistia, Polypteriformes, Polypteridae. The record is from RefSeq and is a predicted model, not a curated record. The transcript has 2 exons.